Capsicum annuum is the source of this 1226-nucleotide long non-coding RNA. RefSeq lists it as uncharacterized. Lineage: Eukaryota; Viridiplantae; Streptophyta; Magnoliopsida; Solanales; Solanaceae. The transcript has 3 exons. The record is from RefSeq and is a predicted model, not a curated record.
CGAUUGAGUUUUAGUAGACGUUCUUACUUGGGACAAAUUUCGAUGAUCAUUACUCUUAGAAUAUAAUUAGUUAAGUGGCCCAAUACCUACCACAUUAAAGCUUUUGGGGUCUUCUUUCUAAUGCAACUAACCGUUCGCCAAUUUGAGUUUGGAGUAAAAGGUUAUGAGUGUUUUAGUAAGAUGUUGUCCAAGUGCACGAUUGGCGACGCAACCCCCACUACCUAGACAUAAAAUUUUGUUAUUCUCUUAUUAAAUUAAAGGUAAACUGGUCCUUUUACCCUGUUCAACUCCCCCAGUUAGUUUUUAAUCCCAAAAAUCACCCUAAAGUAUGAGAAUUAUUCUCAAAUCCCUAAUUUCUCUUCUCUUUCAAAAAACCCAAGCUCCCAAUAUAAAGUUUCAAGUAGGGCCAAAGAUUAUUGUUUCUUCUCAAAAUUUUCUCAUCAAAUUUGUAAUUAAAAAUAAAGAAACAAAUCCAAUCAACUAGGUCUUCAUACCAAUUUGAAGCUAGAGUUCAAGCUUUAAGGGGUUGCAUGACAGUACGCGUCAUACUAAUCAUUUUCGGGCGCUACAUCACUUCAUGAUGUAAGUUCAAAGGUACUUUUUCAUGAUUCUAUGCAGCACUAGGGCAUUUGUACACUCUCGUGGGGUAGCUGUGAUAAGCGAAAUACCAAGGGACUUUGGAAUUGAUGGAAUUAUGUAUGAUGCAACAACAAAGUACAAAGGACUAGUAGAAGCAAUCGCAACAUAACUGAUGAUAGACAUAUUGAAUUGAAAGUUCAAGCACAAGCAGGUAAAAACGAUUGUGUAUUUUUAGUGUAUUAAAUUGGAUAUUAAAGUUAUAUGUAAUUCGGGGAUCUAUUUUUUUAGUAUUAAUUUUUUUUUAAUUUAACAGCUACUAUUUGGUUUGUGUGGUGGAGGAUUGUACUUAGUUUUUUCGUUCUUCCAGAAUUAACAAAUCAAAGAUUUUUAAGAUAAGAAAGUAUUGUGAAGUAUUGUGACAUUCAUACAUUCUCAAUAAAGGAUCAAAUUUAUGCAAGGCAUCAAGGGAUGGCAAAAGUAGUAGCCGGACUGAUUUUAACAAAUCAAAGAUUCCAGAAUCACCCGGGAGUAAUGGUGUAUUUAGAUCAGAAAAGUAGUAAUGUUGAUUUUUUUUGUUAAAUAUCUAUUGUAUGUGACACCAAAAUAUAUGACAAUGGAUAUUAAUGAAAACACUGAACAAUCUGUUA